Molecule: small RNA, 100 nt
Filed under: Salmonella enterica
Lineage: Bacteria; Pseudomonadati; Pseudomonadota; Gammaproteobacteria; Enterobacterales; Enterobacteriaceae
Description: partial RtT sRNA
Rfam family: RtT RNA
About the family: This family represents a bacterial cis-regulatory element known as RtT RNA. The exact function of RtT is unknown although it is thought that it may be involved in changing the cellular response in relation to amino acid starvation.
Source: RNAcentral
CGAUUAAGGUUCGACUCGAGCGAAAGCGAGAGAACGUUGCCAACGGCAACGGCCCGUAGGGUGAGGAGCGAAGCGACGAAUAAUCCUUCCCCCACCACCA